AUUAUGAUGACGAGGAAGGGAAUGCUAGCCAACCACUCCCCUCCCCGCCCCGGCCUCUAUCAGGGGUAAGCCCAGGAGGCAGGAGUGCAGAGUGGCUGAGGGCAAGGCCUCUGCCCUGUUGGAAUAGCCUGGGCCUGCCCCUUCCUAGCCUGUGAGCUGUGACGGGGAUUCAGUGAGGGUCUCAGGCUGUGUACAGCCCAGGACAGUGCCUGGCUCAGAGUGAGUGCUCAACAAGCUUUAAGUGUCGUUAGUAUUCUUGCUGAAAACAUGAAAACUAACCCCAGAGCUAAGCAGUGGAAUUCUGCCCGUGUUGGGGGUGAAGAGACCAAAGUUCAGAAAAAUUCAUUAACAUGUCCAGGAUCAUACAGCUGGAACAGGGGAACAGGCAGGGCUGAGCUCCAAGUCCAGGCAGGCUGAGCCCAGAGCCCUCGCUUUGAAGCUGUUUUAUAUGACUCCUUAGCAGGAAGCUACUCAGGGCGGACUGACUCAAGAGCAUUGUUUCCUGGAACUCCUGAGUCCAAGAGCUGGGGGAAUGCUGGAAACAAGGAGAAGGAAGGCAGAGAAUGCUUGUGGAGGCAGCAAGGAAUAAAUAGAUGCAAGAAUAUUGGAAGGUGUCAUAAGAGGGAUAAGGAACCAAUCGCACCUCUGUCUCGCCCCAUCCCCUCUCCAGGCUUGGGAGCAGAUCCACACCACUACAGCUAUGAUUUGGAAGGAGCACAGCCAUCACUGAUGUCACAACAGUCCCCGCAAUUCCACAGCACAGUGUUGAUUUCAUUGCACCACAGUGUAGCUCUAGGAGUGAGUAAAAGCUCCCUGAGGCCUCCCAGAAGCUGAGAAAAUGCUGAUACGAUACUUCCUGUACAGCCUGCAGAACUGUAAGCCAAUUAAACGUCUUUUCUUUAUAAAUUA
This is a long non-coding RNA of Homo sapiens (human), 909 nucleotides long. RefSeq annotates it as long independently transcribed non-coding RNA 2651. The record is from RefSeq and is a predicted model, not a curated record. Lineage: Eukaryota; Metazoa; Chordata; Mammalia; Primates; Hominidae. The transcript is spliced from 3 exons.